Molecule: ribosomal RNA, 1164 nt
Filed under: uncultured organism
Description: bacterial SSU rRNA
Rfam family: Bacterial small subunit ribosomal RNA
Source: RNAcentral
UUUGUAACCUACCUCUGACUGGAGCAUAGCCCGAAGAAAUUCGGAUUAAUACUCCAUAAUACUGCGAGAAGGCAUCUUUUUUCAGUUAAAGCUUCGGCGGUCAGAGAUGGGCAUGCGUAACAUUAGCUGGUUGGUGAGGUAACAGCUCACCAAGGCUACGAUGUUUAGGGGGUCUGAGAGGAUGGUCCCCCACACUGGUACUGAGACACGGACCAGACUCCUACGGGAGGCAGCAGUGAGGAAUAUUGGUCAAUGGGCGAAAGCCUGAACCAGCCAUGCCGCGUGAAGGAUGACGGCCCUAUGGGUUGUAAACUUCUUUUAUACGGGAAGAAACCCCUCUACGUGUAGGGGGCUGACGGUACCGUACGAAUAAGCAUCGGCUAACUCCGUGCCAGCAGCCGCGGUAAUACGGAGGAUGCAAGCGUUAUCCGGAUUUAUUGGGUUUAAAGGGUGCGUAGGCGGAAAAUUAAGUCAGUGGUGAAAUCCUGCAGCUUAACUGUAGAAUUGUCAUUGAUACUGGUUUUCUUGAAUACAGUUGAGGUAGGCGGAAUGAGUAAUGUAGCGGUGAAAUGCUUAGAUAUUACUCAGAACACCAAUUGCGAAGGCAGCUUACUAAACUGUGAUUGACGCUGAGGCACGAAAGCGUGGGGAGCGAACAGGAUUAGAUACCCUGGUAGUCCACGCCGUAAACGAUGAUCACUCGUUGUUGGCAAUACACCGUCAGCGAUUGAGCGAAAGUAUUAAGUGAUCCACCUGGGGAGUAGGAUUGCAAGUUUGAAACUCAAAGGAUUUGACGGGGGCCGGCACAAGCGGAGGAACAUGUGGUUUAAUUCGAUGAUACGCGAGGAACCUUACGUGGGCUUAAAUGCAUAACGACGGAUCGGGAAACUGGUCUUUCUUCGGACUGAAUGCAUGGUGGUGCAUGGCUGUAGUCAGCUCGUGCCGUGAGGUGUCGGGUUAAGUCCCAUAACGAGCGCAACCCUCAUCAUUAGUUGCCAGCGGGUAAUUCCGGGGACUCUAAUGAAACUGCCGGUGUAAACCGAGAGGAAGGCGAGGAUGACGUCAAGUCAGCACGGCCCUUAUGUCCAGGGCUACACACCUGUUACAAUGGUCAGUUCAAAGGGCAGCUACCAGGCAACUGGAUGCUAAUCUCAAAAGCUGGUC